UUGUUGGUAAGGUAAAAGCUUACCAAGGCUUCGAUCAGUAGCUGGUCUGAGAGGACGACCAGCCACACUGGGACUGAGACACGGCCCAGACUCCUACGGGAGGCAGCAGUGGGGAAUUUUGGACAAUGGGGGCAACCCUGAUCCAGCCAUGCCGCGUGAGUGAAGAAGGCRUUCGUUGUAAAGCUCUUUCAGCCGGAACGAAACGGUUACGGAUAACACCCGUGACUACUGACGGUACCGGAAGAAGAAGCACCGGCUAACUACGUGCCAGCAGCCGCGGUAAUACGUAGGGUGCGAGCGUUAAUCGGAAUUACUGGGCGUAAAGCGUGCGCAGGUGGUUUUGUAAGUCAGAUGUGAAAGCCCCGGGCUCAACCUGGGAACUGCGUUUGAAACUACAAGACUAGAGUGUGGCAGAGGGGGGUGGAAUUCCGCGUGUAGCAGUGAAAUGCGUAGAGAUGUGGAGGAACACCGAUGGCGAAGGCAGCCCCCUGGGUCAACACUGACGCUCAGGCACGAAAGCAUGGGGAGCAAACAGGAUUAGAUACCCUGGUAGUCCAUGCCCUAAACGAUGUCAACUAGUUGUCGGGCCUUUACGGGCUUGGUAACGUAGCUAACGCGUGAAGUUGACCGCCUGGGGAGUACGAUCGCAAGAUUAAAACUCAAAUGAAUUGACGGGGACCCGCACAAGCGGUGGAUUAUGMGGAUUAAUUCGAUGCAACGCGAAAAACCUUACCUACCCUUGACAUGUAUCGAAGCCCGCAGAAAAGCGGGGGUGCCCGAAAGGGAACGAUAACACAGGUGCUGCAUGGCUGUCGUCAGCUCGUGUCGUGAGAUGUUGGGUUAAGUCCCGCAACGAGCGCAACCCUUGUCAUUAAUUGCCAUCAUUUAGUUGGGCACUUUAAUGAGACUGCCGG
This 914-nucleotide ribosomal RNA is filed under the name uncultured bacterium. RNAcentral's name for it is "bacterial SSU rRNA". It matches the Rfam family "Bacterial small subunit ribosomal RNA", at positions 246 to 1155 of the family's 1533-position model. The record is from RNAcentral.